GGAAUUUUCCGCAAUGGGCGAAAGCCUGACGGAGCAACGCCGCGUGAGGGAUGAAGGCCUCUGGGCUGUAAACCUCUUUUAUCAAGGAAGAAGAUCUGACGGUACUUGAUGAAUAAGCCACGGCUAAUUCCGUGCCAGCAGCCGCGGUAAUACGGGAGUGGCAAGCGUUAUCCGGAAUUAUUGGGCGUAAAGCGUCCGCAGGCGGUCUUGUAAGUCUGUCGUUAAAGCGUGGAGCUUAACUCCAUUUCAGCGAUGGAAACUGUAAGACUAGAGUGUGGUAGGGGCAGAGGGAAUUCCCGGUGUAGCGGUGAAAUGCGUAGAUAUCGGGAAGAACACCAGUGGCGAAGGCGCUCUGCUGGGCCAUCACUGACGCUCAUGGACGAAAGCCAGGGGAGCGAAAGGGAUUAGAUACCCCUGUAGUC
Molecule: ribosomal RNA, 422 nt
Filed under: uncultured cyanobacterium
Lineage: Bacteria; Bacillati; Cyanobacteriota
Description: bacterial SSU rRNA
Rfam family: Bacterial small subunit ribosomal RNA
Source: RNAcentral